AGAACAAGGGGCAACUUUGAAUGGAAAGCUAACUCCCAAUGUGAAAUGUCCUGUAUUCCCUGGAUUGACAGGAAGGGAACAAGGGCAAAGAGAGACACUAGAAAUAGUCACCUAGAACUUGGUUAACAAAGCAGAUGGUACUUUUGUAAACUGAAUGGCUGUGGCCCUGCUGCCUCAGGCCAUUGUGUGUUGAUGACAGAUUCACUGUUAAGUCUUCAACAUAGGCAACUGUGCCAAGAGGUACUUGUUCAGAUACUCAGCUGUAAAAAGAUGACAGUGAUAAACAAGAUGAGGUCCUUCUCAUGUGAAAGGUGAAAAUAAGACUUCUGAUUUCUUACGUGUGAGCUGCCUCAGGGGCACCAACAUGGUCCAUAUAUCAUCCACACUAUGAGACUUUCUGAAGCAACAGGAAUCAAGAAUUCUUCCACAUAAAUUGGAGGAAAGCUCCUCUUCUGAGAAGGAAAAUAACUACUGGCUAAAGUCUAAUUAGAAUUCUAAAUUACGGGCUUCAAAAUUCUUAAUCACUAGGAUUCUCUCUGCUUAGUUGAUCUCAUUUUCUGUAACAUUUAAAGUCAAACACUGUGCUCCACAAAAGCAAAUAUAUUCAUUUUAACCCACGCAAAGCUCUGCAGACUCAACCUCAAAUCCUGGUCUCCUAAUUUCACAGCCUAAUGCUGACUCAUUGCUUUCCACAAGUUGACUUUUUUUUUUUUUUUAAUUCAUUCUCACCAUGACGACUUCUCCAACUAUAGAUAGAAUAAUCAUAAGAUUUUCUUAGCCAAAUUGAUGCACUUUUAAGAGUAGGAAAGAUGCCAUUUGUAAUUACACCAGGAAUAGGCAACAUUCACAACCAUCCCUGGCAAACCAAGAUAUAUGGUCCACCCUAACUAUAGCCCUAAUCAUUCUGUAAGCCUCUGAACAUCAUAAACACAUUUAAAUAAAUACAGAUUUAUAC
Zalophus californianus (California sea lion) is the source of this 955-nucleotide long non-coding RNA. RefSeq lists it as uncharacterized. The transcript is spliced from 3 exons. Lineage: Eukaryota; Metazoa; Chordata; Mammalia; Carnivora; Otariidae. The record is from RefSeq and is a predicted model, not a curated record.